Molecule: ribosomal RNA, 600 nt
Filed under: uncultured bacterium
Lineage: Bacteria
Description: bacterial SSU rRNA
Rfam family: Bacterial small subunit ribosomal RNA
Source: RNAcentral
AGGCCGUUAAUGACGCUCAUGCACGAAAGUGCGGGGAUCGAACAGGAUUAGAUACCCUGGUAGUCCGCACAGUAAACGAUGAAUACUUGCUUUCGGCGAUACACAGUCGGAGGCAAAGCGAAAGCGAUAAGUAUUCCACCUGGGGAGUACGCCGGCAACGGUGAAACUCAAAGGAAUUGACGGGGGCCCGCACAAGCGGAGGAACAUGUGGUUUAAUUCGAUGCUACGCGAGGAACCUUACCCGGGCUUGAAAGUUAGCGACGGCGGAUGAAAGUCUGCUUCCCUUCGGGGCGCGAAACUAGGUGCUGCAUGGUUGUCGUCAGCUCGUGCCGUGAGGUGUCGGCUUAAGUGCCAUAACGAGCGCAACCCUUUUCUCCAGUUGCCAUCGGUUCGGCCGGGGACUCUGGAGACACUGCCAUCGCAAGAUGUGAGGAAGGAUGGGAUGACGUCAAAUCAGCACGGCCCUUACGUCCGGGGCGACACACGUGUUACAAUGGGAGGGACAGAAAGCUGCGAAGUGGUGACACCGAGCCAAUCUCCAAACCUUCUCCCAGUUCGGAUCGGAGUCUGCAACCCGACUCCGUGAAGCUGGAUUCGCUA